Brassica rapa (field mustard) is the source of this 1928-nucleotide long non-coding RNA. RefSeq lists it as uncharacterized. The record is from RefSeq and is a predicted model, not a curated record. Lineage: Eukaryota; Viridiplantae; Streptophyta; Magnoliopsida; Brassicales; Brassicaceae.
AUUAUUACUUUAAAUUUUAUACCUAUAUCUAAAUUUCAAGUUCUAAACAUUAAAUCUAAGUGGGGCUUAUUGGAAUGGGGAUUUGGAAAAAUACUAGGGAUUUUAUAUAUAAUGGGAUUUAUCUGAAUCUAUCUGGAUUUUAAGGAUUUUACCAGAGAUUUUAACGAGGAAUUUGUUAGAAUUUUUUUUAAAAAUAUAUAUAUUUGCUAAGGUAUUCUUUGCUCCACCGAAUGGAAGAAACCAAAGUUCAGAAUGAUUCUUCUACAUGCUAUCGUUUGAGACUACAAAAAGAGCUGUGCUUUUGCUUAUAUGAAUAUUCAUAGAUUCUCAUCAGGAUGGAGGGGGUUUAGAGAUGAAUCUCAACGGAGGCAGCUCUAGAGCAGAAGAAGAUGACUUCGGUGAUAUAGUAUGACUCUUUUUGUUACAUUCUACAACUGUUGUUCAUCUUUUUGUAUAUGAUCUGUAACUAUGCAAGCUAUGCAUUUUUGUUUCAGUUAUUUAGAAUUUAGUGAGCAUCAAAUGAGCAAGAUCAAAAAGAAUGAGGAAAUAUCAGAAAAGAGGGAGAAAGAGAUUCAGCAGGUUAGUGCUUGCAACUCUUUAAUGCUCUUAAUUGUUAACCUUUGUCAUUUUCUCCUUGUUUUGUGUCAUCUGCAGGUUGUUGAAUCCGUAAACGAGCAGAAUAUAUAACCCCUUCUCUCUCUUGCUCUCAAUGUUUCAUGAAUAAAUGUUAUGUGAAUCCCACGGGCAGAGCGUACAUAGAGAAACGGAGGUAUGGUUAUGUGUGCGUAACAAACGGAGGUAGUCUUGGCACUGUCAAGGACCAAAGCUGAUGAAGAAGAAACAUACGACGACGUUGAAUUUAUUAAACAAAGAAGAUGAAAAUAAUUGUUUUAUUUAUUUAUUUUGAAAUACCAUCUCAUUAGAUGGUAUUUGUUUCAUUUGGUUAAAUACCAUCUAAUGAGAUGGUAAAUAUUAUAAGUGAAAUCCUUGUUUUCCAAUAAGGAGAGAUUUGAAAGAGUUUGAAUAAAUGAUUAAUUCAAUAAGGGUGGAUUUGAUAGAACUUUUAUAAAUACUCAAUACAAUAAGGGGAGAUUUGAUCAAAAACUAGGAUUCUCUAAAAUCAUCAAUACAAUAAGCCCCCCUAAAUUCUAUUUUUAACCAAUUAUUUUUAGAGACAUGUAUCUUUAAACCAUUUAAUGAAUGUUUGAUCAUUUUUCUCCUUAUUCAUUCUGCUUCUCUUUCCACCAUCAAUGUGUACUCGGGAGGAGAUAACCAAAACCGAAUCACGGGAAACGAUGACUACUCGCCGGAAAACGUACAUGAUGAGAUCGAUUAGAGGCUGAGGAAGAGUACAAAAGAAGACUAUCGGUGGAGUUAUGCGGAUUCAUCAUCACCAUGUUUUUCUCCUCCAUACAAGAGAAACGAUUCAACAUUAGAACUUGCUUGGGAGAGUAUGGGUGGAAGAAAACCAGUAGCGAACCGAAAUUUAUAAACCAAACCACAAUCAAAACGAGCCGCUAAACCUCUGGUUUCAUUGAUUAGACAUUGCUAAACCGAAUCUAGACAAUAAUAGAACCGAUUUUACUGUAUAAUUUACUAAACCUUGAGAUUUGUAAAAUUUCCUUAAUUGGUAUGGUUCUUAAGCGACAUGUACUUCAAGGUAUGAAAUCAGAUCUCUGAAACCGGAACCUAGAGUUAAGAAAUCAAUGAUCAUUGAAGUUUGUGGUAUACUUUGGUCCUUGGCGUACUGCAUGUGUGUUAAACAUGUGACUAGAGAGAAGCGGAUUAUCACCAACAAAUAGAAAAAGGAUUUUAGCGGGGAUGCGUUACUAAUUGGUGGUGGUGCGAGGACUAUCUUUAUAAGUCUCUGAUAGCCUUUCUACAUGAUGUUAAGCUGGAUGAAAAACACAAGCAAAAAUUAAGAACAA